GGGGAAUAUUGGACAAUGGAGGUAACUCUGAUCCAGCAAUUCUGUGUGCACGACGAAGGUCUUCGGAUUGUAAAGUGCUUUAAGUUGGGAAGAAAAAAAUGACGGUACCAACAGAAUAAGCGACGGCUAAAUACGUGCCAGCAGCCGCGGUAAUACGUAUGUCGCAAGCGUUAUCCGGAAUUAUUGGGCAUAAAGGGCAUCUAGGCGGGGUUUCAAGUCGACGGUGAAAACUAGUGGCUCAACCAUUAGCUUGCCGACGAAACUGAAAUUCUAGAGUAUUGGAAAGGUGGGCGGAACUACAUGAGUAGAGGUGAAAUUCGUAGAUAUAUGUAGGAAUGCCGAUGACGAAGGUAGCUCACUGGACAAAAACUGACGCUGAAGUGCGAAAGCUAGGGGAGCAAAC
Molecule: ribosomal RNA, 403 nt
Filed under: uncultured bacterium
Lineage: Bacteria
Description: bacterial SSU rRNA
Rfam family: Bacterial small subunit ribosomal RNA
Source: RNAcentral